AUUGAACGCUGGCGGAAUGCUUUACACAUGCAAGUCGAACGGCAGCACGGACUUCGGUCUGGUGGCGAGUGGCGAACGGGUGAGUAAUGUAUCGGAACGUGCCCAGUCGUGGGGGAUAACGUAGUGAAAAUUACGCUAAUACCGCAUACGAUCUUUGGAUGAAAGCGGGGGAUCGCGAGACCUCGCGCGAUUGGAGCGGCCGAUAUCAGACUAGGUAGUUGGUGGGGUAAAGGCCCACCAAGCCAACGAUCUGUAGCUGGUCUGAGAGGACGACCAGCCACACUGGAACUGAGACACGGUCCAGACUCCUACGGGAGGCAGCAGUGGGGAAUUUUGGACAAUGGGCGAAAGCCUGAUCCAGCCAUUCCGCGUGCAGGAUGAAGGCCCUCGGGUUGUAAACUGCUUUUGUACAGAACGAAAAGGUUUCUACUAAUACUAGGAGCUCAUGACGGUACUGUAAGAAUAAGCACCGGCUAACUACGUGCCAGCCGCCGCAGUAA
Molecule: ribosomal RNA, 500 nt
Filed under: uncultured bacterium
Lineage: Bacteria
Description: partial 16S ribosomal RNA
Rfam family: Bacterial small subunit ribosomal RNA
Source: RNAcentral